RNAcentral lists this ribosomal RNA (426 nucleotides) under uncultured bacterium. RNAcentral's name for it is "bacterial SSU rRNA". It matches the Rfam family "Bacterial small subunit ribosomal RNA", at positions 355 to 796 of the family's 1533-position model. The record is from RNAcentral.
UAGGGAAUCUUGCGCAAUGGGCGAAAGCCUGACGCAGCAACGCCGCGUGGAGGACGAAGGCUUUCUGAGUUGUAAACUCCUUUCAGCAGGGACGAUUAUGACGGUACCUGCAGAAGAAGCACCGGCCAACUACGUGCCAGCAGCCGCGGUGAUACGUAGGGUGCGAGCGUUGUCCGGAUUCAUUGGGCGUAAAGGGCUCGUAGGCGGUUCGAUAAGUCGGGUGUGAAACCCCCAGGCUCAACCUGGGGCCGCCACUCGAUACUGUCGUGACUAGAGUUCGGUAGGGGACCAUGGAAUUCCUGGUGUAGCGGUGAAAUGCGCAGAUAUCAGGAGGAACACCAGCAGCGAAGGCGGUGGUCUGGGCCGAAACUGACGCUGAGGAGCGAAAGCGUGGGGAGCGAACAGGAUUAGAUACCCCUGUAGUCC